Molecule: ribosomal RNA, 1642 nt
Filed under: Drosophila melanogaster (fruit fly)
Lineage: Eukaryota; Metazoa; Arthropoda; Insecta; Diptera; Drosophilidae
Description: eukaryotic LSU rRNA
Rfam family: Eukaryotic large subunit ribosomal RNA
Source: RNAcentral
CUGAAGAUUGAGAUAGUCGGGCUUGAUUGGGAAACAAUAACAUGGUUUAUGUGCUCGUUCUGGGUAAAUAGAGUUUCUAGCAUUUAUGUUAGUUACUUGUUCCCCGGAUAGUUUAGUUACGUAGCCAAUUGUGGAACUUUCUUGCUAAAAUUUUUAAGAAUACUAUUUGGGUUAAACCAAUUAGUUUUAUUAAUUAUAACGAUUAUCAAUUAACAAUCAAUUCAGAACUGGCACGGACUUGGGGAAUCCGACUGUCUAAUUAAAACAAAGCAUUGUGAUGGCCCUAGCGGGUGUUGACACAAUGUGAUUUCUGCCCAGUGCUCUGAAUGUCAAAGUGAAGAAAUUCAAGUAAGCGCGGGUCAACGGCGGGAGUAACUAUGACUCUCUUAAGGUAGCCAAAUGCCUCGUCAUCUAAUUAGUGACGCGCAUGAAUGGAUUAACGAGAUUCCUACUGUCCCUAUCUACUAUCUAGCGAAACCACAGCCAAGGGAACGGGCUUGGAAUAAUUAGCGGGGAAAGAAGACCCUUUUGAGCUUGACUCUAAUCUGGCAGUGUAAGGAGACAUAAGAGGUGUAGAAUAAGUGGGAGAUAUUAGACCUCGGUUUGGUAUCGUCAAUGAAAUACCACUACUCUUAUUGUUUCCUUACUUACUUGAUUAAAUGGAACGUGUAUCAUUUCCUAGCCAUUAUACGGAUAUAUUUAUUAUAUCUUAUGGUAUUGGGUUUUGAUGCAAGCUUCUUGAUCAAAGUAUCACGAGUUUGUUAUAUAAUCGCAAACAAAUUCUUUAAUAAAACGAUGCAUUUAUGUAUUUUUGAUUUGAAAAUUUGGUAUAACUCCAAUUACUCAGGUAUGAUCCAAUUCAAGGACAUUGCCAGGUAGGGAGUUUGACUGGGGCGGUACAUCUCUCAAAUAAUAACGGAGGUGUCCCAAGGCCAGCUCAGUGCGGACAGAAACCACACAUAGAGCAAAAGGGCAAAUGCUGACUUGAUCUCGGUGUUCAGUACACACAGGGACAGCAAAAGCUCGGCCUAUCGAUCCUUUUGGUUUAAAGAGUUUUUAACAAGAGGUGUCAGAAAAGUUACCAUAGGGAUAACUGGCUUGUGGCGGCCAAGCGUUCAUAGCGACGUCGCUUUUUGAUCCUUCGAUGUCGGCUCUUCCUAUCAUUGUGAAGCAAAAUUCACCAAGCGUUGGAUUGUUCACCCAUGCAAGGGAACGUGAGCUGGGUUUAGACCGUCGUGAGACAGGUUAGUUUUACCCUACUAAUGACAAAACGUUGUUGCGACAGCAUUCCUGCGUAGUACGAGAGGAACCGCAGGUACGGACCAAUGGCACAAUACUUGUUCGAGCGAACAGUGGUAUGACGCUACGUCCGUUGGAUUAUGCCUGAACGCCUCUAAGGUCGUAUCCGUGCUGGACUGCAAUGAUAAAUAAGGGGCAAUUUGCAUUGUAUGGCUUCUAAACCAUUUAAAGUUUAUAAUUUACUUUAUAAACGACAAUGGAUGUGAUGCCAAUGUAAUUUGUAACAUAGUAAAUUGGGAGGAUCUUCGAUCACCUGAUGCCGCGCUAGUUACAUAUAAAAGCAUUAUUUAAUACAAUGACAAAGCCUAGAAUCAAUGUAAACGACUUUGUACACGAGGCAGAG